This 311-nucleotide ribosomal RNA is filed under the name uncultured bacterium. Its description in RNAcentral is "bacterial SSU rRNA". It matches the Rfam family "Bacterial small subunit ribosomal RNA", at positions 163 to 507 of the family's 1533-position model. The record is from RNAcentral.
CUAAUACCGCAUACGCCCCUUCGGGGGAAAGAUUUAUCGCUAAGAGAUGGACCCGCGUUGGAUUAGCUAGUUGGCGAGGUAACGGCUCACCAAGGCAUCGAUCCAUAGCUGGUUUGAGAGGAUGAUCAGCCACACUGGGACUGAGACACGGCCCAGACUCCUACGGGAGGCAGCAGUGGGGAAUAUCGGACAAUGGGGGCAACCCUGAUCCAGCCAUGCCGCGUGAGUGAAGAAGGCCUUCGGGUUGUAAAGCUCUUUCAGAUGCGAAGAUGAUGACGGUAACAUCAGAAGAAGCCCCGGCUAAUUUCGUG